Molecule: ribosomal RNA, 427 nt
Filed under: Salmonella enterica subsp. enterica serovar Virchow
Lineage: Bacteria; Pseudomonadati; Pseudomonadota; Gammaproteobacteria; Enterobacterales; Enterobacteriaceae
Description: partial 23S ribosomal RNA
Rfam family: Bacterial large subunit ribosomal RNA
Source: RNAcentral
GAACCGUUAUAACCGGCGAUUUCCGAAUGGGGAAACCCAGUGUGAUUCGUCACACUAUCAUUAACUGAAUCCAUAGGUUAAUGAGGCGAACCGGGGGAACUGAAACAUCUAAGUACCCCGAGGAAAAGAAAUCAACCGAGAUUCCCCCAGUAGCGGCGAGCGAACGGGGAGGAGCCCAGAGCCUGAAUCAGCAUGUGUGUUAGUGGAAGCGUCUGGAAAGGCGCGCGAUACAGGGUGACAGCCCCGUACACAAAAGCGCAUGUGCUGUGAGCUCGAUGAGUAGGGCGGGACACGUGGUAUCCUGUCUGAAUAUGGGGGGACCAUCCUCCAAGGCUAAAUACUCCUGACUGACCGAUAGUGAACCAGUACCGUGAGGGAAAGGCGAAAAGAACCCCGGCGAGGGGAGUGAAAAAGAACCUGAAACCGU